AACGCACCUUGCGCUCCCUGGUAUUCCGGGGAGCACGCCUGUUCGAGUGUCGCGAAAUUUCUCAAGCUUGGAUGGCCUUUUUGUCUAUCCUUAGCCUUGGUUGUUGGGCUUUGCCGUGUCCUUUGUUGGGACGGCUGGCCUUAAAAGCAUUAGCUGAUCCUUGUGUGGCACUGGUUCUACUCAGCGUGAUAACAGUCUGAUCGCUGAGGACAUCUUUUGGGAUGGCCAGUUCUCAUUUGGGUUGCUUCCAAACUUGGUUUUGCAGAUUCUUCAAUCUGUGUUCCACUUUUCAGCUUUGACCUCGAAUCAGGUGGGACUACCCGCUGAACUUAA
Molecule: unclassified non-coding RNA, 333 nt
Filed under: uncultured Clavulinaceae
Lineage: Eukaryota; Fungi; Basidiomycota; Agaricomycetes; Cantharellales; Hydnaceae
Description: sequence contains ITS2
Source: RNAcentral